GACGAACGCUGGCGGCGUGCUUAACACAUGCAAGUCGAACGGAAAGGCCCUGCUUUUGUGGGGUGCUCGAGUGGCGAACGGGUGAGUAACACGUGAGUAACCUGCCCUUGACUUUGGGAUAACUUCAGGAAACUGGGGCUAAUACCGGAUAGGAGCUCCUGCUGCAUGGUGGGGGUUGGAAAGUUUCGGCGGUUGGGGAUGGACUCGCGGCUUAUCGGCUUGUUGGUGGGGUAGUGGCUUACCAAGGCUUUGCCGGGUAGCCGGCCUGAGAGGGUGACCGGCCACAUUGGGACUGAGAUACGGCCCAGACUCCUACGGGAGGCAGCAGUGGGGAAUAUUGCACAAUGGGCGGAAGCCUGAUGCAGCAACGCCGCGUGCGGGAUGACGGCCUUCGGGUUGUAAACCGCUUUCGCCUGUGACGAAGCGUGAGUGACGGUAAUGGGUAAAGAAGCACCGGCUAACUACGUG
This 468-nucleotide ribosomal RNA is filed under the name uncultured bacterium. RNAcentral's name for it is "partial 16S ribosomal RNA". It matches the Rfam family "Bacterial small subunit ribosomal RNA", at positions 28 to 507 of the family's 1533-position model. The record is from RNAcentral.